CAGAAGUAGUAGUAGUAGUAGUAGUACUAGUAGUAGAAGUAAUAGUAGUAACUUUCAAAGCAAUGUCUACAAGUUUAAAUUCCUUAACCCUGUUCAAGGUGUAUACACACUCAAUAUUUAACUACAGUCCAGGUUUGCAAUUAACAAACUAUCUGAAAAGCCUGUGUGUGAGUCAGAUGUGUCUGCGGCUAAUCUAUUGGUUAUAAAAUAUCACAGCCUUUUCUGAUUGGCUGAGUUCAAAUACAGAAAGUUUACCUGUUAGAUUGAAAUUUUGGAGAAGGCGUAUUGAAGAAAAAAUGCAGGUUAAACUUGUUGUUAAAAUGAAGUUAAUGUAAUUUCACAAACAGUAGAGUUUAACUUAACAAGAAUUUCUUAAAAUAAUAAUGUAUGGAUAUCAUUUGGAAAGUGACAUGAAAUGUUGUUAAAAAGUGAUGCAUACAAGUGUUUGAGCAGUCUGUCUAGGAAUAGAACAACAACUGAAGCUGACCAGUUGAUGGAAGAUACUGCAGAGUUUGGCAGGGAAAUAACCCAAGACAGCAAAGCGGCUCUUUUGGCGCAUUUACCAAGAGGACUAACAUGGCCACAAAUUCAUGAGAUCAUGCAGAAGCCGUACAGUAUAACAGCAGGACAAGUUCUAUAAAAGAUCCACGACCUACUGAAGCCCAGCUAAUUAACAAAAAAGUUUUUAAAAACUGUAAUUUUAUCCCACCUGGGUACUUAUAAUUACUAAGCUGCCUUCACAAGUUUUAGACUUGCAAUUAUAUUUUAAACU
Long non-coding RNA from Dreissena polymorpha, 772 nucleotides. RefSeq lists it as uncharacterized. The transcript has 3 exons. Lineage: Eukaryota; Metazoa; Mollusca; Bivalvia; Myida; Dreissenidae. The record is from RefSeq and is a predicted model, not a curated record.